This 253-nucleotide ribosomal RNA is filed under the name uncultured bacterium. RNAcentral describes it as "partial 16S ribosomal RNA". It matches the Rfam family "Bacterial small subunit ribosomal RNA", at positions 524 to 776 of the family's 1533-position model. The record is from RNAcentral.
UACGGGGGGGGCAAGCGUUGUUCGGAAUUACUGGGCGUAAAGGGUUCGUAGGUGGCCUGCUAAGUCUGAUGUGAAAUCUCUCCGCUCAACGGGGAGCAGCCAUUGGAAACUGGGCGACUGGAGUCUGACAGAGGUAGGCGGAAUUCCGGGUGGAGUGGUGAAAUGCGUAGAGAUCCGGAGGAACACCAGAGGCGAAGGCGGCCUACUGGGUCAGUACUGACGCUGAGCCGCGAAAGCCAGGGGAGCGAACGGG